CGGCCGCGUAGCCGGAGGUCCGGCGGCUGGGCAACUCGUGCCCGGUCACCGCGCGCUCCGGCGCGCCGUGGCCGA
Molecule: transfer RNA, 75 nt
Filed under: Streptomyces antimycoticus
Lineage: Bacteria; Bacillati; Actinomycetota; Actinomycetes; Kitasatosporales; Streptomycetaceae
Description: tRNA-Glu
Source: RNAcentral